UCCGGUUUGGCACCGGCAGUCGGACUAGAGUCCCCGACAUGACUCGCUGGCAACUAGUCCCAAGGGUUGCGCUCGUUGCGGGACUUAACCCAACAUCUCACGACACGAGCUGACGACAGCCAUGCAGCACCUGUGCAGGAGCUCCGAAGAGGAACCGGCGUUUCCGCUGGCUUUCCCCUGCAUGUCAAGCCCAGGUAAGGUUCUUCGCGUUGCGUCGAAUUAAACCACAUGCUCCACCGCUUGUGCGGGCCCCCGUCAAUUCCUUUGAGUUUCAGCCUUGCGGCCGUACUCCCCAGGCGGGGCACUUAAUGCGUUAGCGCCGACCCUCAAGGGGUCGCUCCCCCAAGGAUCUAGUGCCCAUCGUUUACGGCGUGGACUAC
RNAcentral lists this unclassified non-coding RNA (380 nucleotides) under uncultured Gemmatimonadaceae bacterium. Its description in RNAcentral is "contains 16S-23S intergenic spacer region". Lineage: Bacteria; Pseudomonadati; Gemmatimonadota; Gemmatimonadia; Gemmatimonadales; Gemmatimonadaceae. The record is from RNAcentral.